This 449-nucleotide ribosomal RNA is filed under the name uncultured bacterium. Its description in RNAcentral is "partial 16S ribosomal RNA". It matches the Rfam family "Bacterial small subunit ribosomal RNA", at positions 29 to 523 of the family's 1533-position model. The record is from RNAcentral.
AACGAACGCUGGCGGCAUGCCUAACUCAUGCAAGUCGAACGAGAUCUUCGGGUCUAGUGGCGCACGGGUGCGUAACGCGUGGGAAUCUGCCCUUUGGUUCGGAAUAACAGUUGGAAACGACUGCUAAUACCGGAUGAUGACGAAAGUCCAAAGAUUUAUCGCCAGAGGAUGAGCCCGCGUAGGAUUAGCUAGUUGGUGUGGUAAAGGCGCACCAAGGCGACGAUCCUUAGCUGGUCUGAGAGGAUGAUCAGCCACACUGGGACUGAGACACGGCCCAGACUCCUACGGGAGGCAGCAGUGGGGAAUAUUGGACAAUGGGCGAAAGCCUGAUCCAGCAAUGCCGCGUGAGUGAUGAAGGCCUUAGGGUUGCAAAGCUCUUUUACCCGGGAUGAUAAUGACAGUACCGGGAGAAUAAGCUCCGGCUAACUCCGUGCCAGCCGCCGCGGUAA